CCUACGUGGGGCAGCAGUGGGGAAUAUUGGGCAAUGGGCGCAAGCCUGACCCAGCGACGCCGCGUGAGGGAAGACGGUCUUCGGAUUGUAAACCUCUUGCAGCAGGGAAGACAAAAGGACGGUACCUGCAGAAGAAGCAACGGCUAACUACGUGCCAGCAGCCGCGGUAAUACGUAGGUGGCAAGCGUUAUCCGGAAUUACUGGGUGUAAAGGGUGUGUAGGCGGGUUUGCAAGUCAGAGGUGAAAAUUAUGGGCUCAACCCAUAACCUGCGUCUGAAACUACAGAGCUUGAGAGUGGGAGAGGUAAACGGAAUUCCCGGUGUAGGAGUGAAAUCCGUAGAUAUUAGAAGGAACACCAAUAGCGUAGGCAGGUUGCUGGGACGGUUCUGACACUAAGGCACGAAAGCGUAGGGAGCAAACGGGAUUAGAUACCCCGGUAGUC
Molecule: ribosomal RNA, 442 nt
Filed under: uncultured bacterium
Lineage: Bacteria
Description: partial 16S ribosomal RNA
Rfam family: Bacterial small subunit ribosomal RNA
Source: RNAcentral